GAUGAACGCUGUCUACAGGCUUAACACAUGCAAGUCGAGGGGAAACGCCGGGGAAGCUUGCUUCCCCGGGCGUCGACCGGCGCACGGGUGAGUAACGCGUAUCCAACCUGCCUCUGACUGAGGGAUAACCCGUCGAAAGUCGGCCUAAUACCUCAUGGCAUCGUCUGCGGGCAUCCAACGACGAUUAAAGAUUUCAUCGGUCAGGGAUGGGGAUGCGUCUGAUUAGCUUGUUGGCGGGGUAACGGCCCACCAAGGCUACGAUCAGUAGGGGUUCUGAGAGGAAGGUCCCCCACAUUGGAACUGAGACACGGUCCAAACUCCUACGGGAGGCAGCAGUGAGGAAUAUUGGUCAAUGGGCGGGAGCCCGAACCAGCCAAGUAGCGUGCAGGAUGACGGCCCUAUGGGUUGUAAACUGCUUUUAUGCGGGGAUAAAGUGAGGGACGUGUCCUUCAUUGCAGGUACCGCAUGAAUAAGGACCGGCUAAUUCCGUG
RNAcentral lists this ribosomal RNA (491 nucleotides) under uncultured bacterium. Its description in RNAcentral is "partial 16S ribosomal RNA". It matches the Rfam family "Bacterial small subunit ribosomal RNA", at positions 28 to 507 of the family's 1533-position model. The record is from RNAcentral.